This 253-nucleotide ribosomal RNA is filed under the name uncultured Eubacteriales bacterium. RNAcentral describes it as "uncultured Clostridiales bacterium partial 16S ribosomal RNA". It matches the Rfam family "Bacterial small subunit ribosomal RNA", at positions 524 to 776 of the family's 1533-position model. The record is from RNAcentral. Lineage: Bacteria; Bacillati; Bacillota; Clostridia; Eubacteriales.
UACGUAGGAGGCAAGCGUUAUCCGGAAUGACUGGGCGUAAAGGGUGCGUAGGUGGUUUGAUAAGUUGGUAGCGUAAUUCCGAGGCUCAACCUCGGCGCUACUACCAAAACUGUCGGACUUGAGUGCAGGAGGGGCAAAUGGAAUUCCUAGUGUAGCGGUGGAAUGCGUAGAUAUUAGGAGGAACACCAGAGGCGAAGGCGGCUAACUGGACUGUAACUGACGCUGAGGCACGAAAGUGUGGGGAGCAAACAGG